GGUUACAUCCUUUAACCACGGUAGAGCUGAGCGGAUAAGAACUGGUCAACUGUAUUGAUCGGUCAUUUACAUAACAACAUGAUGUCCCACUCGCUCCACUGCAAAACGAGAAAGUCACACAUAUAUCA
Molecule: long non-coding RNA, 128 nt
Organism: Salarias fasciatus (jewelled blenny)
Lineage: Eukaryota; Metazoa; Chordata; Actinopteri; Blenniiformes; Blenniidae
Exons: 3
Source: RefSeq, a predicted model, not a curated record